CGCGGAACCUCUGCAAUAGGCGAAAGCCUGACAGGGUUAUUCUGAGUGACUUUCGCUAAGAAAGUCUUUUGACACCUCUAAAAAUGGUGUAGAAUAAGGGGUGGGCAAGUCUGGUGUCAGCCGCCGCGGUAAUACCAGCACCCCGAGUGGUCGGGACGAUUAUUGGGCCUAAAGCAUCCGUAGCCGGUUUUACAAGUCCUCCGUUAAAUCCAACUGCUUAACAGAUGGGCCGCGGAGGAUACUAUAAGACUAGGAGGCAGGAGAGGCAAGCGGUACUCAGUGGGUAGGGGUAAAAUCCGUUGAUCCAUUGAAGACCACCAGUGGCGAAGGCGGCUUGCCAGAAUGCGCUCGACGGUGAGGGAUGAAAGCUGGGGGAGCAAACCGGAUUAGAUACCCGGGUAGUCCCAGCUGUAAACGAUGCAGACUCGGUGAUGGACUAGCUUCAUGCUAGUCCAGUGCCGCAGGGAAGCCGUUAAGUCUGCCGCCUGGGUAGUACGGUCGCAAGACUGAAACUUAA
RNAcentral lists this ribosomal RNA (517 nucleotides) under uncultured archaeon. RNAcentral describes it as "bacterial SSU rRNA". It matches the Rfam family "Archaeal small subunit ribosomal RNA", at positions 340 to 859 of the family's 1478-position model. The record is from RNAcentral.